CCUACGGGUGGCUGCAGUGGGGAAUAUUGCACAAUGGGGGAAACCCUGAUGCAGCGACGCCGCGUGAGUGAAGAAGUAUCUCGGUAUGUAAAGCUCUAUCAGCAGGGAAGAUAAUGACGGUACCUGACCAAGAAGCCCCGGCUAACUACGUGCCAGCAGCCGCGGUAAUACGUAGGGGGCAAGCGUUAUCCGGAUUUACUGGGUGUAAAGGGAGCGUAGACGGGAGCACAAAUCUGGAGUGAAAUCCCGGGGCUUAACCCCGGAACUGCUUUGGAAACUGUGCGGCUGGAGUGCAGGAGGGGUAAGCGGAAUUCCUGGUGUAGCGGUGAAAUGCGUAGAUAUUAGGAGGAACACCGGUGGCGAAGGCGGCCUGCUGGACUGUGACUGACGUUGAGGCCCGAAGGCGUGGGGAGCAAACAGGAUUAGAUACCCCGGUAGUC
This 440-nucleotide ribosomal RNA is filed under the name uncultured bacterium. RNAcentral describes it as "partial 16S ribosomal RNA". It matches the Rfam family "Bacterial small subunit ribosomal RNA", at positions 338 to 795 of the family's 1533-position model. The record is from RNAcentral.